Non-coding RNA from Sphenostylis stenocarpa, 72 nucleotides. NCBI's taxonomy places the organism in Eukaryota, Viridiplantae, Streptophyta, Magnoliopsida, Fabales, Fabaceae. The record is from the annotation of a GenBank genome assembly.
GUCCAUCUAGCUCAGUUGGUAGAGCGCAAGACUCUUAACCUUGUGGUCAUGACAUGAGCCCCAUGAUGGGUG